GGCAGCGGCGCCGGCGGCGGAGUCGAGAGGGGAGAGAGAGAGAGUCGAGAGACAGGGAGGAGACAGGGAGGACGAACAAACUAGGGCUUGUAGUUUUGGGGUUAAUUUCUAAAUUUUCUAAAUAAAAUCUAUUCCUUUUUUUCUUUUUCUUUUUUCUCUUUUUUCACUUUUAAUAUUCAAUUUUUGGUAUUUAGAUUUCUAAUUUAGAUUUUAUAUAAGUGUUACUUAAUGAUAAAACAAAAAAAUGUUAUAUGAUUUUUUUAUUUUUAAAAUCUAUAUCUAGGAAUAAAUUCAGAUUUUAGGAUAAACAAUUUAUUUGUUAUUUUUAAU
RNAcentral lists this long non-coding RNA (330 nucleotides) under Salvia miltiorrhiza (redroot sage). RNAcentral's name for it is "long non-coding RNA (SMIL_LNC012063)". The record is from RNAcentral. Lineage: Eukaryota; Viridiplantae; Streptophyta; Magnoliopsida; Lamiales; Lamiaceae.